GACAGAGGGUGCGAACGUUGUUCGGAAUUACUGGGCGUAAGGCGCGUGUAGGCGGCAGCGCAAGUCGGGCGUGAAAUCCCACGGCUCAACCGUGGAAGUGCACUCGAAACUGCGCAGCUAGAGUCCUGGAGAGGAAGGUGGAAUGCUUGGUGUAGAGGUGAAAUUCGUAGAUAUCAAGCGGAACACCGGUGGCGAAGGCGGCCUUCUGGACAGUGACUGACGCUGAGACGCGAAAGCGUGGGGAGCAAACAGG
This 253-nucleotide ribosomal RNA is filed under the name uncultured bacterium. RNAcentral describes it as "partial 16S ribosomal RNA". It matches the Rfam family "Bacterial small subunit ribosomal RNA", at positions 524 to 776 of the family's 1533-position model. The record is from RNAcentral.